Molecule: long non-coding RNA, 2125 nt
Organism: Coturnix japonica (Japanese quail)
Lineage: Eukaryota; Metazoa; Chordata; Aves; Galliformes; Phasianidae
Source: RefSeq, a predicted model, not a curated record
AUUUCACAAGAUUAACCUGAUAACGUUGGUAUUAAUUAUUGUAGGGAAUAUUUCUGCUGACUGAGGAACUGCUGUACUGCAGGCACUUGGGAGAUGCAGCUGAUUCAAUGUAUGGCUGCCAACUGGUGCUCUUUGGUGGAGCAUGCUUCAGCUUCAUUUCCAGACCAAAGUGGGCUGUUACAGAUGGCCGUAUGUGACAAAACUGCUUCCAGCUUUAGCAUCUGUAAUGGGCAAUGGGUUGUCUACUUGAAGCUGAAAAUGCUGAUAGAAGUGCAAUUGUGGCAGUACCUAAAAAAGCCUGUGGGUAGAAACAAAAUUGUCAAUGGCUAGUUUUGUGUGCUCAUGCAAAAACUUGAAACAGAAGUGGUGAAGUGGGACUGUUUCAGAAAGAUGUUAAAACUCAGCACAUUAGCUUUGAUUAUGACAUUAAUGCUAAAGCCAAACCAUGGUAACUUCUAAUCCACUGUAUCUAGAAGAGCUCUUGGAAGGACAGGAUUAUUACUUUCUGCUGUUUGAAGUGUGAUCUGUGUGCAAUCGUGGAAGUUGUGCUGGCAAAUAUAAUGUUUAACUGGGGAAUUAGUCAGGAAUUUAGGAUCUCUUCUGGCACAGUUCAGUUUAAGUAAGGCUAAGGACAGGUGUGAUUUAUAUAUGCUUGGGAAACAAGUGCUCAUAAGGAUUCACCUUGUAAGGAUGGAGGAAAUCAAGUAGACAAAUGGAUACACUUCCUUGAAUGGCCAUACUCAAAAGGCUUCCCUGACCCUCUCAUUAGCAGCUAAUCUUCUCUUCUUUAGGGUCUGGAAAGUGUUUAGAAGAGACAUUGCUCUUUAUCCCCUUUCUAAGCAUCCCUUACCUUCUCUGCCUUUACUGCUUCUGAACUUGCCUUCUGCAGGGGUUCGUUCUGCUAUGUCUAUUGGCCUGCCAUGACUGCAUCUUUACUUUCUGUUAGUCAUUUUCUUCUACUGCCUUGCCAGCAAUCGUUCUCUAGGGACACAAGCACUUAUACUCCCCUCACAAGGAGCUGAAAUGUUGAAUUCCAUCACAACACCCAGAUUAUCAGGAUAUAAAUAUGUCCUUGGUAUAAAGGGAGAAGAAAACCACAGAGGAGCAAAGUUGCACUUCAGAAAACUCACUCACACCUUUGCUAUUUCAGUAUGUAGUUAGAAAAAAUGACAAAAGAAGAUUUACAGUAACUGAAACAUGAGUGGGAACCCAUGAGGGAAAUGGAUGAUCUGAGAUCUCAGAGACAGCUUUACUUUGAGUCAAAUAAGUCUCUCCUACUCCUGAGCCUGUGAAAGCUGCUUGAGGAGACACCGUUCAAACCAUUCACCCAUGAUAGAAAAAGGGAAGACAGGUGCCUAAUGAGUGCUAAUAUAUAGUGCUUUAUUUCCAUGGUAACAUUUAUACCAUCAGGCAAAGUCUUUUCAAUGAAGCAAAAUGGCCCUUCUGAAACAGAAGAGUGCAUCAAAGAUUAACUUCACCUAACUGUAAGCAUUUAUCCAAGCCACAUCCUUUGGGAAUUUUCUUGCCCAAAAUUCCCUCAAAAUUUAAAAUGAGACACAGAGACCACUAGAGAUGAUUCAGGUCAACUAAGGUGUGGUUCACACCAUGAAAACUGUACUGGGGCAAUGGGCAGAGGAAGUGAUCUCCAACUACAACAUAUCAGCUGGGACCCAUUCCAGGUGUGUGGGUUCUAUCUCCACCUGACAUUUAUUACUCAUGCUCUGUGGAGUGAAGUUGUAUCUUCACAGCAACAAGUUAGGUGUCAGUCUGGAUGUGCUGCUUUUGUUUCUGAAAGAAAAUGAAGAUCGUAAUAAUUGCUUUGCAUUUCUCUACAGGCAUGGUCAGAGUAGGUGCCUGGUGAAGCUUAAGGACACUUGUUGGAAGAGUUCUCUUACAGAGCCUGUGUUGACUCGGUACUUAAUUGGGACAGGCUAUCUCAUGACUGACAGAAAGCUGCUAAUUCUCAUUUUACUCCCAGAAAUGCAACAUGCUGAAAUAAGGUCAGACAAGCUCCAUGUUGGCUGAGUCUUGGGCAUUUCAGUGUCAGAAUUCUGGCUCAUGUUAAGGUAAUGAUGCUAUUUGAAUAUGAGGUCCAAUAUGAGGUUGUAACUUCACAUUACUUUGU